CAUGCUAGAUGUAAUAGCAACGAUGAUGAACCUGGUGUGUCUAUCAAGAGCCUAGCUUGUAACCCAGUUCUUCCUCACAUCCUCCUUGGGCAGCAGGAAAACCCCAGAAGUGCAUUGCAGAUGCUCAGAAACCCUUGGGAGUCCACAGACAGGAUUGCAUGUGACACUACAAUCUGGACAGGGCCUGCUUGAGUCAGAGCUCCAAUAAACAUAGAUAAUGAGCACUGAAGACGACCAGAGGUUACUUUCAUCACCAUCUUGGUUUUGGUAGCUGCUUUACUGCAUCCUGUUUUAUCAGCAGGGUCUUUACCACCUCUGCCAGUCCUGUAGACCUUCUGUCUCAUCUUGUGACUAAGAAUGCCUAACCUCCUGGGAAUGCAGCCCGGCAGAUAUCAUCCUCAUUUUACCCAGCAGGUCAUGAUCCUGGCUGCUCCCUGCAGACUGAAAAGGUUGACUUCUAGAUCUAUACGUGACCAGCUUAAUUCUAGAGAGACUGUCUGAAGUACUGCACUGUGUUUAGUUUCCACGUCAUUUAUCACUGACAUCGUCUCAUGCAUGAAAGUGCAAGGAGAUUUAAGGAGCUGGCAUUUUCUCACAAGAUCUCCUUUAGUGGAACGGUGCCUAACAUGCUACUUAACUCACGCUGCCACUGAAACAUAACUCUCCUCUCCCCAGCACUUCUGUCUUCCAUGGAACAGCACAGUCUUCAGCAAGUAGAAAGCUCUACUCAGAACUCUUAGUCCUAUUGUGCUAAAAUGUGCGUCACACGCACAGGGUUAGGUCACAACCUAUCUUCGCACUUCAAAUCCCACGUCUCAAAAACAGCUGGACAGAACCUGGUUUUGUAAGAGCAAGUCACCUGAAUGACCAAGAAAUUCUCAAAUAGCACAAAGAAGACAAAAAGAAAAUACUACUUCUUUGAGUUUGAAGAAGACCGAGUUUAUGUGCCUCAUUAUGGAUUUUUACUUCUUCAAUUUGUUUUCAUUCUUCCAACCCACCACUUUUUUUUUUUACUGUCUAAAAGCAUUAAAAAAAUUUAAACCAGG
Molecule: long non-coding RNA, 1046 nt
Filed under: Homo sapiens (human)
Lineage: Eukaryota; Metazoa; Chordata; Mammalia; Primates; Hominidae
Description: HSALNT0028663
Source: RNAcentral